This 256-nucleotide unclassified non-coding RNA is filed under the name Utricularia alpina. RNAcentral describes it as "ITS2". Lineage: Eukaryota; Viridiplantae; Streptophyta; Magnoliopsida; Lamiales; Lentibulariaceae. The record is from RNAcentral.
CGUCGCGCCCAUCCCUCCCCGCGCGCGCCGCGGGUGCUGGGAUGGGGGUGGAUGGUGGCCUCCCGUUCGUCCCCCCCCCGGGAUGAUCGGCCGGCCGAAAACGAGGUCAGUUGCCCCCCUCGGCAUCGGGACGCAGCGGGAAUCGGUGGUUGUGGGGGUGGUCCGACUUCUCAUCCCCCCGGUGCGGUCCCAGAGGUAGAUGGUUCGAGGUGGGGGCGGAUCUUGGCGUACGGGCGAACGAUCGUCGCCCUCGACG